Panthera pardus (leopard) is the source of this 328-nucleotide unclassified non-coding RNA. Its record names the gene 7SK. It matches the Rfam family "7SK RNA". From Rfam's summary of the family: 7SK was discovered as an abundant small nuclear RNA in the mid-70s but a possible function has only recently been suggested. Lineage: Eukaryota; Metazoa; Chordata; Mammalia; Carnivora; Felidae. The record is from Ensembl.
AGAUGUGAGGGCGAUCUGGCUGUGACACCUGUCACCGCAUUGAUUGCCAGGGUCGAUUUGGCUGACCUGGCUGGUUAGGUGGGUGUCCCCUUCCCCACUGCUCUAUGUGUGUCCCUCCCAAAGCUGCACAAUAGGUCGAAGAGGGCGACCUUCCCCUUUAGAAAAGGGAUAGAGGAGGACUGUUCUUCUGUCAAGGGUAUACUAGUAGCUGUGCUCCCCUUCUAGAACCUUCAACCCAAGGUCCGUUUGUAGAAUGUAGGGUAAUCAAGCUUCCAAGACUCUAGACACAUCCAAAUGAGGUGCAGCAUGUGACACUCUGCCUUCCUUG